GGCUUCGAACUUCACCCUAGCUAAGUAAGGGUUUAGUUCCUCAUACUUGCAAUUAAACAAAAACAAUUGAUAUUAAACAUAGAGAAACAAAGUAGAAGACACCUAGAAUGCUCCAACAACUCCAAUGGAAUGGCUAGCACAACUCCAAGCACUCCUCCUUCUUUGCAAGCCUUGGAACUAAUGGAAAUGUGUAUGAAUGGCUGUGUGUCAUCCUUGAAGGCUGAAUGGUGCUUAUAUAGAGGUUGGAAAUGUCAAGCAAUUGCAAGGUAAUGGACAAGGGAAAAAAAAACCCACGGCAAUGAAGGAAGAUGCUGCCAGCUUUUUGCCUUGUGUGUGUGUGCUGUCUUUGUGCUCUUUCCACCUAGAAAUAAUCAUGCCAAAGCCACCCAAAGCUAUAAGUGGGAGACCAACAAGAAAUCCACUUCAUAGUGGUCCAAUUUCCUUGCUUUUCUGCUGUCCAUUCACUCCCCUUGUUUUAUUUCUUUUCUUUUGUUUGCUUUCAAUUCCAAUCUGCAAGUUGUCGUCAGCUAGACCUUCCCUUACUCAAAUGCCUAUAACUUCUUCUAGAAAAAUGAUAUUAACAAUCCGCGAAAUGUUCUAGAAAAUAGACAUCUGUAGCUUUCCAAGCAUAUAAGGCUCAUUCUCUAAUUCAUUCUGAGCUGUUCGAAAUUUGCUCCCAAAGUCAGCUGAUCAAAGUUGUAGAAAUCUGCCAACUCCAUUCCAUUGCCGUGUGUGUGUGUUUGUGUUGUCAUCAUCACUUCCCACUCUUCCAUGCUUUAAUUUCUGAUUCCUUGCUGCCCAUGUGGUGUGUGUGUUGCUGUUUUCUUUCCUUCUUGCUGCCCAUGUGGUGUUUAUACUUGCACAUGCAUGUUCUUCAUCCAUUUAGCUAGCAAUAAACACAUUUUCUGCCAUCACAUGGCAGCUAUGAUGUUUGAAGUUGUAGGCCAACACUUUGCACACACACAUGUAGAUUUCUAGCCCAUUGAAUCAUCAAAUUCGUCCAUCCUCAUGUCUCCAUGUUUGCACCAUCCAAUCUUGGCCCAAAAAUGCUCCAAAGUGCUCCAAAAUGCAUCUUCUUGCAUCCUUGGCCCAUAGAACCUACAAACACACAAAAAUGGCUUAAACUACUAACAUAACUAAGAACUAAGAACAUAAAUGCACGAAAACAAACAUACUAAGUCGCAUAAAUAUGCUCCUAUCAAAUUCCCCCACACUUUAGCUUUUGCUUGUCCUCGAGCAAAACAAAGAAACAAAACAUAAGAACAAAACAAAACCUAAACCUUCCAACAUUUACCUUAGGGAUUUUCAAUGCAACAUGACAUGCAAAAGAUCAUCAUAACCACAUAUUUUGGCCUUCCCUACCCUUGAGCACAUACUUAAUCAUAGUCACCAUAUACUAGUUCACAUAUAACCAAUUAAAACGAUGUUUUGAAUGUAGUAACAUGCCUUAGAGAAUUUGCUCAAUUCCUUACAAGAUACACUCUUAUUUUCACUCUGAAUUUCUGACUACACACCCUACACUAGGUGUAUGUGAGAAGAUUGAUGUAAACAUGAAAACGAACACUCACAUAUCUUUAAAGCAAAGAAAGCAAUUUCUGGAGUUAUUAAGCAUGUAUAGAUAUGAUCUCAUGACUGGAAUGCUACUACUUAGAUGCGAGAACCAGGGAUACCAUAUGCUCGUACCAAUCCCAAACUCCACAUAUUGAAACACAUAACACUCAAGAUUGAAGUUAAGGGUUGUAACGGGGUUAGGGGUGAUUGGCUAACAAUGAAAGGUAAGGAAACAAACGUUUUUUAAAGCAUAAUAAGCAAAUUAAUGAAAUUGAUGCUUAGAAUUCCUUUUGAAUGCAGCAACUAACUUUAAACACAAUGGGGUUAUUCAUUCAACUUUUUUAGGGCCGAUUUCAACUUUUUGGACCCUUUCUACAACAAACAACACUUGUGAGCAUUUCCUCACUUAUUUCAAACUCUUUUUUUUUUUUUUUUUUUUUUUUUAACCCGUGCCUUAUUACUUUCUUUUGGCACACUAAACACAAAACUCUCAUUCCCCCACACUUGUUUUCUGCAUAAGGACAAUCAAAAGGAAUUCAUUUUAAGUCAUGCUUCAUUAUGCUUUAAAAACAAGGGUAAGGAUAGUCCUAAUCUAGGCUAGGUAAGGGAAAUGUGGUUUAACAAAGAAAACAGGCUAAACAAGGCUCAACGGGGUUAAACUUAAACAAAUAUGCACGGGAUAAGCUUUUUGGCUCUAGUUCACUACAGAACUUCAUCUUGAAUAUGUGUUAUGCAAAUCAAUGUCAUGCUUUGAAUGGAACGGGCAUAAGUUCUAGUAUUUGGAACUAAAUGAUGAAACGCCUUCUAAGUAGCAACCAGGCAAAGAAUGAUGAGAUCAUGCAACGACUUUAGAAAACAAAAAUGCACAGAUUAAUAACUCUCCAAAGAACGUAUUAGGCUCAAGUCUCUCAAGGUUGUAGUGUUAGUUUGAGUUCCUUCCUUCAAGCAUGUUACAAAAACUGAUUUUUUUUUUUUUUUUUUUUUUUGUGAUUACAUGUGAAUUCGUAAACUAUAACUAUAACCAAGCAUAAAUCAAGAGCAUAUCAAACUUCCAUCCAUGUUUAUAACUUUCUUUAACAGUCAUGCAAUUAAAAACCAAAUCCUCAUUAUUUGUGUUGGAAGGUACCCUAAGACACAAACAAACACACAAAAACAACUCUUUUUGGCUUUUUCAACACCAUUUUUUUUUUUUUUUUUUUAUUUUUUUUAUUUUUUUAUAUUUUUGUCAAAAUUUCGGAUUUUUAUGUCAAAACAUACUAACAUGCUUAAAAACACACUAAAAACACUUAAAACAGCAAGAAACAACAUUGUAAGUGAUAGGUGAAUAAAAUCCCACGAAAAUCAUGCAACAGCAACUUGUUUAUAUUUUUUUAUAUUUUUGUCAAAUUUUCGGAUUUUUAUGUCAAAACAUACUAACAUGCUUAAAAACACACUAAAAACACUUAAAACAGCAAGAAACAACAUUGUAAGUGAUAGGUGAAUAAAAUCCCACGAAAAUCAUGCAACAGCAACUUGUUUACCCCCCCACACUUAAAUCUAACAUUGUCCUCAAUGUUUCAAACAUAAACUCACAAAAAAGCAAACAAACAAACAACGAGGAAACAUGAUAAACAUGGCAAAGUAAAAGCAACAGAGAGGAGGGUUAAAGAACGCAAACACCUGGUUUUGGAGUCGGAAAUUCCUAGGUCUUCUCUAUUUCCAUGGGUUGCCUCCCAAGAAGCGCUUUCUUUAACGUCGUGCAGCCGGACGUCUAUCAUUCAUCAAUGAUCUUUGGUGCCCACGGCAUGGAGGGAUAGAUCCUCCACCACAUGCUCCUCAAACAGGUCGUAAUAGGGCUUCAAUCGAUGCCCAUUAACCUUGAUUUCAUGUCCUGUUUUCAAGCUUUGGACUUGGACUGCACCAUGAGGAAAGACAUUAGUAACAAUAAAUGGCCCAAUCCACUUGGAACGUAACUUACCGGGGAAUAACCGAAGGCGAGAGUCAAAUAGGAGCACUUUCUGUCCCUUGGAGAAUGUUUUGGUACGAAGCAUCUUGUCAUGAUACGCCUUGGUCUUGUCCUUGUAAAUUCGAGCGUUCUCAUAAGCGUCAUGCCUAAUCUCCUCGAGUUCAUUUAGUUGGAGCUUUCUAUGCACCCCGGCUGCAUCUAUGUCCAUGUUGAAGGUCUUCACAGCCCAAUGCGCCCUAUGUUCCAAUUCAACGGGCAAAUGACAUGGUUUACCAUAAAUGAGACGAAAAGGUGACAUACCUAGAGGGGUUUUGUAGGCCGUACGAUAGGCCCAUAAUGCAUCGUCCAAGCGCAAACUCCAAUCUCUCCUUGAAGGCCCCACGGUUUUCUCAAGAAUUUGCUUGAUCUCCCGAUUUGAAACUUCCGCUUGCCCAUUGGUUUGAGGAUGAUAAGGGGUGGAUACCUUAUGCGUCACUUUGUACUUCUUGAGCAAAGCUUCAAUGGUUCGAUUACAAAAGUGAGAGCCUCCAUCACUAAUGAGAACUCUAGGCAUGCCAAACCUAGCAAAGAUAUUAGUUUUUCACAAAAUCUGCAACAACCUUUGAAUCGUUAGUUCGGGUGGCUUUGGCUUCCACCCAUUUGGAAACAUAAUCAACAGCUAGCAAGAUAUAAGUGAAACCAAAAGAUGGAGGGAAAGGACCCAUGAAAUCUAUACCCCAAACAUCAAAGAUUUCAACACUAAAAAUGGGGGUUUGCGGCAUUUGUUGUUUAGGACCAAUAUUGCCCGUUCUUUUGGCAUCUAUCACAAGACAUGCAAAAUGUUCUAGCAUCCCUAAAGAUGGUAGGCCAAUAGAAACCACAUUCUAACACCUUAAGUGCUGUUCUUUGAGUGCCAAAGUGUCCCCCACAAGCAUAAGUGUGACAAAAGGUUAGAAUUGCAUUAAACUCAGAAUCGUGUACACACCUACGUAUAACUUGGUCAGGGCAAUAUUUCCAUAAAUACGGGUCAUCCCACACAUAAAACCGUGCCUCUUUCUUCAAUUUAUCACAUUGGUGUUUAAGUAAUUCACUAGGAACAUGUUUAGACACCAAAUAAUUCACCAAAUCAGCAUACCACGGUUCACUUACCUUGACGGACAUCAGUUGCUCAUCUGGGAAUGUCUCUAUGAUAGGCACGACAUCCUCCUCAUGCACCAUACGGCUCAAGUGGUCAGCCACCACGUUUUCACUUCCCUUCUUAUCCCGGAUUUCGAUAUCGAACUCUUGGAGAAGAAGCAUCCAACGAAUGAGUCGUGGUUUGGCUUCAUUCUUGGUGAAUAAAUACUUCAAUGCUGCAUGGUCAGUAUAAAUAAUAACUUUAGUACCAAGCAAAUAAGAACGGAAUUUAUCUAAAGCAAAUACAACAGCAAGAAGUUCUUUUUCAGUGGUAGAAUAAUUCAAUUGUGCAUCAUUUAAAGUCCGAGAGGCAUAAUAGAUAACAUGCGGCCUCUUUUCCUUCCUUUGCCCCAAAACAGCUCCUAAUGCAUAAUCGGAAGCAUCACACAUAAGCUCAAAAGGAAAGCUCCAAUCUGGUGGAACUAUGAUAGGGGCCGAAGUUAGCAUUUCUUUUAGGUGAUUGAACGCCUUCUCACACUCCUCGUUGAAGUCAAACGCCACAUCUUUUUGGAGGAGACGGCAAAGAGGGUUUGAGAUCUUGGAGAAGUCCUUGAUAAAUCGCCUAUAAAAUCCUGCAUGACCAAGAAACGAACGAAUCUCUCGAACCGAAGUAGGAGAGGGUAAGUAGCGUAUAAGAUCUAUUUUCGAUUUAUCCACUUCAAUUCCUCUUUCUGAAACAAUAUGCCCUAGAACUAUGCCUUGUCUAACCAUAAAGUGACAUUUUUCCCAAUUAAGCACAAGGUUAGUUUCUACACAUCGUUUCAAAAUUAUUGUGAGAUUUUCCAAACAACCAUCAAAUGAAUCACCAAACACACUGAAAUCAUCCAUAAAUACCUCAAUAAUCUUUUCCACAAAAUCUGAAAAGAUACUUACCAUACACCUUUGAAACGUGGCCGGAGCAUUGCAUAAACCAAAAGGCAUGCGACGAUAAGCAAAAAGUACCAAAGGGGCAUGUGAAAGUUGUCUUUUCUUGGUCAUCCGGCGCUAUGACAAUCUGAUUAUAUCCAGAAUAACCAUCAAGGAAACAAUAAAAAGAAUGACCGGCUAACCUUUCAAGCAUUUGAUCAAUGAACGGCAAAGGGAAGUGGUCCUUCCUUGUGGUGGCGUUGAGCUUCCUAUAAUCAAUGCACACUCUCCAACCUGUUUGGAUACGGGUUGGCACAAGCUCAUUCUCGGCAUUUUUCACCACUGUCACUCCGGACUUCUUUUGGAACACAUUGCACCGGUGAUACCCAACGACUAUCAGAGAUCGGAUAAAUUACUCCACAAUCAAGAAGUUUGAUAAUCUCCUUUUUCACAACUUCCAUCAUUGGAGGGUUGAGACAGCGCUGAGCCUCUCGAGUUGGUUUAGCCCCCUCCUCUAGAAGUAUGCGAUGCAUGCACGUAGUCGGGCUAAUUCCCCUAAUAUCGGCCAAAGUCCACCCAAUGGCCGUCUUGUGCUCUUUCAACACUCGGAUCAACUUCUCCUCCUCUAUGGCCGUGAGUGAUGAGGAGACAAUGACGGGCAAUGUCUCGUUAUCUCCCAGAAAGGCGUACUUUAAAUGAUCGGGCAACGGUUUAAGCUCAAGUACGGGUGCCUGAGUUACUGAGGGUAACAACUUAUUAGUGGAGACUGAAAUUGAAAUUGGGUUAGAAGGCUUACCAUGAUAUUGAGGUAGUGACUCAAGGGCAGCCACUAUCUCGGCCUCCUCCACACUUCUAGGCACAGCAAAACCAGAUUUUUGCCCAAUUCCUUGUGCAAUUGUUGUUUCAAGUGUAUCCCUCUCCAAACAAUCGAGAAAAUCCUGCGCCAAAUCAUCAAUUAUAUCAAUAGAAAAGCAAGAAUGAUCGUCCUUAGGAAAUUUAAUACUUUCAGAAAGAUUGAAAUCAAUGACUUCCCCAUCAAAUUCCAUCGUUAAAGUUCCUUUAAACACAUCUAUCUUGGUGCGGGCUGUUUUCAUGAAGGGCCUCCCUAAUAGAAUCGGCAAUGGGGUGGAAUGGGGUGAAUCUUCCAUGUCAAGCACGUAGAAAUCCGCUGGAAAAAUCAAGUCACCAACCUGCACCAAAACAUCUUCCAAAACACCCUUUGGAUAUGCAUUAGAACGAUCGGCUAAUUGAAUUAUCACACCAUCAUUUUUAAGCUCACCUAAGUUCAUAGAUGCAUAAAUAGAGUAUGGCAUAACAUUAAUUGAAGCCCCUAAGUCUAACAUGCAUUGUUCAAACUUAGUAUUACCAAUAACGCACGGAAUUGUAAAACUACCCGGAUCUUUGCAUUUAGGGGGUAAUUUCCUUUGUAACACGGCAGAGACAUUUUCACUUACUUGAACCACCUCUUUGUUCGAAAUCCUUCUCCUUGUUGUACAAAGUUCUUUUAAAAACUUAGCAUACCUCGGGACUUGCUUAAUCGCAUCAAGGAGCGGGAUAUUGACUUGAACUUUCCGAAAGGUCUCUAGAAUGUCCUUCUCAGCUUCUUCCUUCUUUUGAUUGCCUAAACCUGCCAGGAAAGGGCACAUUUAGUGGAAUAGAACUAGAAAAAGUUGAAUUGGGACUUACCUUGGUGGUUUGGGAUGGUUUAGGAGGACUAGAUGAAUUCGGCAAGGUUUGGUCUUCCUUGGCCUUGGGCUUUUCUCCCUGUGCUUCUUCUUGCAGCAACUUGUCCUCCUCGUCUUGACUUGAUUUGGAUGUAUUUGAGUCCGUUCCAACCUGUUUACCACUUUUUAACAUGAUGGCCUUAGCGGUUUCAAAUCCUCCCUUCGGGUUCAUAACGGUUGAACUAGGCAAUCUGCCUUGUUCUCUAAUUUGCCCCAUAAAUUCUGCAAUUUGACCCAUUUGCUUCUCCAAAUUGUCCACCCGUUUGUCUUGGAUUUGUCUCUCCUUAUUUUGAGUUUGUACUUCCUGCGUCAAAGUAGUAAGUAACUUAACAAUGUGAUCAUUAUCCAAAGACAUACCUGAGGUUGUUGGGGCAGAUUGCACUUGGUUUUGAUUGGGGACGAAUGGCUUUGUAUAAAAGCCCGGUGGUUGCUGCCUAAAUCCUCCUUGUUGUUGGGGUUGUUGAGGAUCCCGCCAUUUGAAAUUUGGAUGGUCUCUCCACCCCGGAUUGUAGGUAUUAGAGUAUGGAUCAUGGCGUGGUUGAUUUUGGUUCCCAAAACCCACGGCAUUGGCAGAUUCCCAACCCCUAUUCUCAAUCAAUUGAGGGCAUUGAUCAUUUGCAUGUCCUUGCAUAGAGCACACGCCACACACACUUGGUCCAUGAAUCUUCAUUCCCUCGGCCAACUGAGAAACAAUAGAAGUAAGGUUAGCUAAUUGGGAUUGAAUUUCGGGCAUAGAACUUACCUCAUUCACUUGUGGCCGUGGGUGGUCUCUUUGUCCAACACCUUCGUAUUGUUGUGCAUUAUGUGCUCGGUUGGCAAUUAGAACUUUUGCAGCCCCCGGAGUUUUAUCCACCAGCGCACCUCCCGCCGAGGCAUCAAGCAUUUGGCGUUCCAUGGGAAGGAGUCCUUCGUAGAAGUAUUGAAUGAGCAGCUCCUCCUUCAUUUGAUGUUGUGGACAAGAAGCAACAAGUGAUUUAAAACGUUCAUAAUAAGAAGGAAACGAUUCACCUUGAUUUUGUUGGAUGCCACUAAUCCGUUUCCUCAAGAGAAUGACUCUUGAAGUUGGGAAAAACUUCUCCAAGAAAGCUCUUUUCAUACUAUCCCAAGAUGUAACCGUUCCGGGUGCUAACUCGUAAAGCCAAUCCUUCGCCUUUUCCAAAAGUGAGAAUGGAAAAGCCUUCAUCAUCAGAAUGUUCCCGUCGACAUUUAUGGGUGUCAUGCUCGAACAAACAACCUCGAAUUCCUUGAGAUGCUUGUUUGGCUCUUCCAUGGAAAGCCCAUGGUAUUUCGGAAUGUGGUGCAACAAGCUUGACUUCAACUCGAAUUCAUCGGUCUUGCCUUGGGCAGCCGCGGGGUAUUGAAUGCAUAAUGGUGCGGCAUUGGUCAACCCCGAGGCCGAAAGCUCUUUAAUGGUCCGAUUGUCCGCUGCCAUAACUUCUUCUUUCUCUUCUUCAAACUCAUAUUCGGCCUCUGAACUUGAACUAGGUUCACUAGGUUCGGGAUGCCUCCUCUUUCUUCUCAAAUCACGUUCAAAAUCGUGUUAAAGUCCAAGAUAUGCACAGUUUGAGAACUCCGCGUCAUGCAUUAGUACCUAAACCAAGAAAACAAAACAAAAUAAGAAACUAGGUAAAUUACACUAAAAACACACGGCAAAAACACAAGGGAUUAGCAAUUUGCUAAUCCCCGGCAACGGCGCCAAAAUUUGAUGUGAGAAUUACUUGACACACAAAUUAAACCCUAUUGAUGACAAUUGUAGUAAUGAUGCAAGUAGGGAUCGUUCUAGACCGGGGAUUAACUAGGGAUGCUAAUCAACAAAUAUAAGACUCAAGAAUAUAAGAAGAAACUUAAAAACACAAAAGUAGGUUUUAAAACACUAAACUAGACUCAAAGAGUUCAAAACACUUUAAGGCACAAACUAAACAAACUUAAACACACUUCGAUACAAGAAAGUAAAUGGGAGGUAUUGGUUUGGAUGAGAUUGAGAUAACAACAAAAAGUAAAACUAAAUAGAUGGUUGAUGGAUUAGCUAGAGAUCCAUUCUUCACACAUGACACACUUGUACAUGAAUUGAUUUCCAAUUGCUUUUCAAUAGAUUAUGAAACUCAACACCCCAGAUUAACCGUGAUGCACUAAUUAAUUCUCAGAUUUUCCUUGAUUUAUUGAAUUGGAUGAAUGCAUACGACAAUCCAAAUUAUUCUCCAAAAGUCCUCUACAUGAAUGCAUAAUAGAGAUACAAUUAAAGAUCAUUACGUUCUAUGAAAAUCAUAAGUGUUAACGAGGCAUUCGUAACUAUGAAUGCAUGAUACGUUUGCCAAGAAUUCAAUUAACGCGAUUGUGACUAGCAACCUUCACUACCAAUGAAUAUAAACUUGUAACGAUUAGGUGAAACUCAUUUAUAUCCUAGCAUCAAAUUCAUGCAUGAAAACUAAGUAUGCAUCCUUAAUCAACAUACAAGAAUUAGUUUUGAAGAAAGUAGUUAAUUGAAUUGCAUUCACAACUUAUUAAAUCACAAUUGGAAGAAAUCAAUUCAUAUCUCAAACAUGUUCAUGGCUUCGAACUUCACCCUAGCUAAGUAAGGGUUUAGUUCCUCAUACUUGCAAUUAAACAAAAACAAUUGAUAUUAAACAUAGAGAAACAAAGUAGAAGACACCUAGAAUGCUCCAACAACUCCAAUGGAAUGGCUAGCACAACUCCAAGCACUCCUCCUUCUUUGCAAGCCUUGGAACUAAUGGAAAUGUGUAUGAAUGGCUGUGUGUCAUCCUUGAAGGCUGAAUGGUGCUUAUAUAGAGGUUGGAAAUGUCAAGCAAUUGCAAGGUAAUGGACAAGGGAAAAAAAAACCCACGGCAAUGAAGGAAGAUGCUGCCAGCUUUUUGCCUUGUGUGUGUGUGCUGUCUUUGUGCUCUUUCCACCUAGAAAUAAUCAUGCCAAAGCCACCCAAAGCUAUAAGUGGGAGACCAACAAGAAAUCCACUUCAUAGUGGUCCAAUUUCCUUGCUUUUCUGCUGUCCAUUCACUCCCCUUGUUUUAUUUCUUUUCUUUUGUUUGCUUUCAAUUCCAAUCUGCAAGUUGUCGUCAGCUAGACCUUCCCUUACUCAAAUGCCUAUAACUUCUUCUAGAAAAAUGAUAUUAACAAUCCGUGAAAUGUUCUAGAAAAUAGACAUCUGUAGCUUUCCAAGAAUAUAAGGCUCAUUCUCUAAUUCAUUCUGAGCUGUUCGCAAUUUGCUCCCAAAGUCAGCUGAUCAAAGUUGUAGAAAUCUGCCAACUCCAUUCCAUUGCCGUGUGUGUGUGUUUGUGUUGUCAUCAUCACUUCCCACUCUUCCAUGCUUUAAUUUCUGAUUCCUUGCUGCCCAUGUGGUGUGUGUGUUGCUGUUUUCUUUCCUUCUUGCUGCCCAUGUGGUGUUUAUACUUGCACAUGCAUGUUCUUCAUCCAUUUAGCUAGCAAUAAACACAUUUUCUGCCAUCACAUGGCAGCUAUGAUGUUUGAAGUUGUAGGCCAACACUUUGCACACACACAUGUAGAUUUCUAGCCCAUUGAA
RNAcentral lists this long non-coding RNA (10756 nucleotides) under Malus domestica (apple). RNAcentral's name for it is "long non-coding RNA (MDOM_LNC009535)". The record is from RNAcentral. Lineage: Eukaryota; Viridiplantae; Streptophyta; Magnoliopsida; Rosales; Rosaceae.